RNAcentral lists this ribosomal RNA (462 nucleotides) under uncultured bacterium. RNAcentral describes it as "bacterial SSU rRNA". It matches the Rfam family "Bacterial small subunit ribosomal RNA", at positions 342 to 797 of the family's 1533-position model. The record is from RNAcentral.
UGGGAGGCAGCAGUGGGGAAUCUUGCGCAAUGGGCAAAAGCCUGACGCAGCGACGCCGCGUGAGUGGUGAAGGCCUUCGGGUUGUAAAGCUCUGUGGAGGGGGACGAAUAAGCCAUGGCUAAUAUCCAUGGUGAUGACGGUACCUCUUUAGCAAGCACCGGCUAACUCUGUGCCAGCAGCCGCGGUAAGACAGAGGGUGCAAACGUUGUUCGGAAUUACUGGGCGUAAAGCGCGUGUAGGCUGCCUCGAAAGUCGGAUGUGAAAGCCCUGGGCUCAACCUAGGAAGUGCAUUCGAAACUUCGGGGCUGGAGUCCUGGAGAGGAUAGCGGAAUUCUCGGUGUAGAGGUGAAAUUCGUAGAUAUCGAGAGGAACACCGGUGGCGAAGGCGGCUAUCUGGACAGUGACUGACGCUGAGACGCGAAAGCGUGGGGAGCAAACAGGAUUAGAUACCCCGGUAGUCCC